GGACGAAAGUCUGACGGAGCAACGCCGCGUGAACGAUGAAGGCUUUCGGGUCGUAAAGUUCUGUUGUCAGGGAAGAACAAGUACCGGAGUAACUGCCGGUACCUUGACGGUACCUGACCAGAAAGCCACGGCUAACUACGUGCCAGCAGCCGCGGUAAUACGUAGGUGGCAAGCGUUGUCCGGAAUUAUUGGGCGUAAAGCGCGCGCAGGCGGUUCCUUAAGUCUGAUGUGAAAGCCCCCGGCUCAACCGGGGAGGGUCAUUGGAAACUGGGGAACUUGAGUGCAGAAGAGGAGAGCGGAAUUCCACGUGUAGCGGUGAAAUGCGUAGAGAUGUGGAGGAACACCAGUGGCGAAGGCGGCUCUCUGGUCUGUAACUGACGCUGAGGCGCGAAAGCGUGGGGAGCGAACAGGAUUAGAUACCCUGGUAGUCCACGCCGUAAACGAUGAGUGCUAAGUGUUAGAGGGUUUCCGCCCUUUACUGCUGCAGCAAACGCAUUAUUCACUCCGCCUGGGGAGUACGGCCACAAGGCUGAAACUCAAAGGAAUUGACGGGCGCC
This 557-nucleotide ribosomal RNA is filed under the name Bacillus sp. HZBN126. Its description in RNAcentral is "bacterial SSU rRNA". It matches the Rfam family "Bacterial small subunit ribosomal RNA", at positions 373 to 921 of the family's 1533-position model. The record is from RNAcentral. Lineage: Bacteria; Bacillati; Bacillota; Bacilli; Caryophanales; Bacillaceae.